UAGGGAAUCUUCNNNNNUGGACGAAAGUCUGACCGAGCAACGCCGCGUGAGUGAAGAAGGUUUUCGGAUCGUAAAGCUCUGUUGUAAGAGAAGAACGGGUGUGAGAGUGGAAAGUUCACACUGUGACGGUAUCUUACCAGAAAGGGACGGCUAACUACGUGCCAGCAGCCGCGGUAAUACGUAGGUCCCGAGCGUUGUCCGGAUUUAUUGGGCGUAAAGCGAGCGCAGGCGGUUAGAUAAGUCUGAAGUUAAAGGCUGUGGCUUAACCAUAGUACGCUUUGGAAACUGUUUAACUUGAGUGCAGAAGGGGAGAGUGGAAUUCCAUGUGUAGCGGUGAAAUGCGUAGAUAUAUGGAGGAACACCGGUGGCGAAAGCGGCUCUCUGGUCUGUAACUGACGCUGAGGCUCGAAAGCGUGGGGAGCGAACAGGAUUAGAUACCCUGGUAGUCCACGCCGUAAACGAUGAGUGCUAGGUGUUAGGCCCUUUCCGGGGCUUAGUGCCGCAGCUAACGCAUUAAGCACUCCGCCUGGGGAGUACGACCGCAAGGUUG
RNAcentral lists this ribosomal RNA (550 nucleotides) under uncultured bacterium. RNAcentral's name for it is "bacterial SSU rRNA". It matches the Rfam family "Bacterial small subunit ribosomal RNA", at positions 355 to 896 of the family's 1533-position model. The record is from RNAcentral.